RNAcentral lists this ribosomal RNA (495 nucleotides) under uncultured bacterium. RNAcentral's name for it is "partial 16S ribosomal RNA". It matches the Rfam family "Bacterial small subunit ribosomal RNA", at positions 28 to 507 of the family's 1533-position model. The record is from RNAcentral.
GACGAACGCUGGCGGCGUGCCUAAUACAUGCAAGUAGAACGCUGAAGGAGGAGCUUGCUUCUCUGGAUGAGUUGCGAACGGGUGAGUAACGCGUAGGUAACCUGCCUGGUAGCGGGGGAUAACUAUUGGAAACGAUAGCUAAUACCGCAUAACAGUAGAUAUCGCAUGAUAUCUACUUGAAAGGUGCAAUUGCAUCACUACCAGAUGGACCUGCGUUGUAUUUGCUAGUUGGUGAGGUAACGGCUCACCAAGGCGACGAUACAUAGCCGACCUGAGAGGGGGAUCUGCCACCCUGGGACUGCGACACGGCCCAGACUCCUGCGGGAGGCAGCAGUAGGGAAUCUUCGGCAAUGGACGGAAGUCUGACCGAGCGACGCCGCGUGAGUGAAGAAGGUUUUCGGAUCGUAAAGCUCUGUUGUUAGGGAAGAACGAGUGUGAGAGUGGAAAGUUCACACUGUGACGGUAUCUUACCAGAAAGGGACGGCUAACUACGUG